This 282-nucleotide long non-coding RNA is filed under the name Gossypium raimondii (Peruvian cotton). RNAcentral describes it as "long non-coding RNA (GRAI_LNC001488)". Lineage: Eukaryota; Viridiplantae; Streptophyta; Magnoliopsida; Malvales; Malvaceae. The record is from RNAcentral.
CCUUGAUUGAAUUGGAAAGCUUUUCUUGAGGGUUUAUUUGGAGAUACUUGGGAUUGAUAUCUACUCACUGCAUUUGAAGAACACAAGUCUGUUUUGGUCGACAAAACAGUGCUCUGAAAAGGUGCAAGAAAUCGGGAGAGUUCUAAAAAGGUGCAAGAAAUUAAACAGGCAACAUUGUUUAAGAUACAGACCCAAAUGCUCUUCAAUCCUCCGUCAACAUUAACAAGUUCAAAGAAGAAAGAUGAUUAAAGCCUAAACUAGCACAACUAGAACAUACGAUAC